This 928-nucleotide long non-coding RNA is filed under the name Marmota monax (woodchuck). The record is from RNAcentral. Lineage: Eukaryota; Metazoa; Chordata; Mammalia; Rodentia; Sciuridae.
GGAGAACUGAAUUCUCAAUUUUAAAGGAUUAUAAACCCUUAACUGCAUACAUAGUAUCCAGAAAAAUGAAAAUGUACAGUUAUCUGAAAUAAAACCCUUAUUGUUGGAAAUCAUGCAGAUGCAAGUGGUCGAGAGGAGGGGAAAAACAAGUUCCAUAUAUGUCCAUGACAUGGCCAAUCAGUCUGCACAAAGUGCACUUGAGAUAUGUGUCAGGGGGCCUCUCCUCUCCCCCUGCCUCCUUCUAUGUCCUUCCAGUCCCCAGAAUGGAGAUGAAAAGAAGGAAGUCUCUGCUACUGCCCAGGUGGAAGGUGGGAGCAUUUCAGGACACUUAGCAUUAACAUCUGCCUGACAAACUCACCUUUCUCUUGAUGAUAUUUUCUCUGAAAUCUCUGUUAUGCCAUGAUGCUACCAUUUAAUACUAAAGACCAAGGAUCCAUGUGAUAAGAUUCAUUCCUAUCUGGAUAAGGAGAAUGCUGGUACAGCACAGUAACAUUUCUCGUGUGCUUUUUCAUCUAGUUGACUUUCCAGGCUCUGUACACAGUUUUCAUUCCACUUUUAGUCCUAAAAUUAUCUUGAUUUAGAGAAAGCAGGGUACGGUACCUUUUGUACCUCUUCUUCCUCCUCUUUUUUAUUUCACCUCUCAGUUUCUUUAUCUUUAGACAGCUAUUUAUGCAUUUUUAUCAAGGGUAGAGGUUAAAUGAACAACUUCCAUUGCAGUGUAAAGAGUGGUCAGAUUCCCUGGGUGCUUAUCCAAGUUCUAUUCCCUUCCUGCUAAGUACAGAAUGGCAAAUUCUCUCAUCUGUGAAAUGGGGAAAGUUAACAGCCAUCUACUUUGUAGGGUCUUUGCAAAGACUGGGUUAUUCUAUUUGACAUUCAUAGCAGAGUUAAACAAUGCAUGAAUGAAAGCUGCUCUUAUUAUGAUUGGUUU